Molecule: small RNA, 27 nt
Filed under: Bombyx mori (domestic silkworm)
Lineage: Eukaryota; Metazoa; Arthropoda; Insecta; Lepidoptera; Bombycidae
Description: piRNA piR-bmo-1729518
Source: RNAcentral
UGUUUAGCUGUGUGCAGUGGUAUGGAG